AUCAAACUCUGUUGUUCGGGGAAGGCUGCAGUUGCAACUUGCAGGCACCUCCUGCCUCCUAGGCUGUGAAAAAUUCGGUCACAGCAAAAGCACAUUAUCCUGUACCUCUCUUCCUCCUAACGUUCCUUCCUUGUCCCUGUCCCUGUUACUGACGCGUGUUCACCACCGUCUUCAAACCGAGCGUCGAAUACCUAAAACCCUCUCCCCUUUAUAUUCACCGCCAUUGGAUUACAGCAACCCAAUACCCGCCCUCCUAUCUGCACAGUUUUGUGGUAGGUACACUCCGGCGCUGGUGGGUUUUUGCUAUCCAUUUCAACCCCCUUCUUUUCUUCCUUUUUCUUUUCUACCUUAUAUACAAGAGUGGCCGAGAGUGAGAGCUCCCAAAUGGAGCCUCAAGUGGUGAAAAAGAGAGGUCGAAAACCCAAGCCCAAAGACGAGAAAGAUCAGCAACAGCAGAGUUCUGCCAAAAUGAAAGAGGGAAAGAAGAUUCAGCAACCUUCCGUCGACGACAAGUACACUCAGUGGAAGUCUUUGGUUCCUGUUCUCUAUGACUGGUUCUCUAACCAUAAUCUCAUUUGGCCUUCUCUCUCUUGCCGGUGGGGUCCACAGCUUGAGCAAGCUACUUACAAGAAUCGCCAACGUCUCUACCUUUCUGAGCAGACUGAUGGUAGUGUUCCAAAUACUUUGGUUAUUGCAAAUUGUGAAGUUGUCAAGCCUAGAGUUGCUGCUGCAGAGCACAUAUCUCAGGUGAUUUCUACCAUGUGAUGUGUUUUACUGUCUUGAUCUUGCAUGCUGCUUUUAGAUUCAUGAAAUUGUUCUUGUAACAUAAACUUUGAUUUGUUGUCUGGUGAUUGACUCUGUAGUUUAAUGAAGAAGCACGCUCUCCAUUUGUUAAGAAGUACAAGACCAUCAUACAUCCUGGAGAGGUGAACAGGAUCAGGGAACUUCCACAGAAUAGUAGAAUAGUGGCCACUCAUACUGACAACCCUAAUGUUCUCAUAUGGGAUGUUGAAGCACAGCCUAAUCGCCAUGCAGUUCUUGGAGCUACAAAUUCUCGUCCAGAUUUGGUAUAGCUUUCUCUGGGGCUUUUUCUUUAGAGAAAGGAAAGUUGAGGGCAUGAUUCCACUGUUUUUAUAUUUUAAAAUAACUAUUUGUGGAGGUUAUUGUAGCAUGUUACCAUGAUGAUGGGAGAAUAACAUUCGUGAAUGUAAAUGUAGAUGUGAAUCAUGUUUGCAACAAUCCGCUUUCCAAGAAACAUCUUUCAGUAGCAUGAUAUUUGAGGUGUUUUGGAGUGAGUAAUUUGCUUGCUUCUGAUAGGGCACUAGCCAUUUUAACCUGGAACUCAUUUUGCAGAUUUUGACUGGACAUCAAGAUAAUGCUGAAUUUGCUCUUGCAAUGUGCCCAACUGAACCCUUUGUGCUUUCUGGAGGUUGGAAAAUUACAAUUUACUACUAUAAAUAAUUGUAUGAAAUAGCUUAUUCGUCUUAUUCACAAAGUUUUCUUUAUUAUGUCUGUUGUAAUAAUGACACUUGAGUUCUGUUUAGUGCUGUAUUUCUGUAGCUGUGUUCUUAUUUUUGUUUCUACUUCCAGAUUGUCUUGUGUUAGAUUAACUGAAUGAUUCUUUGUGAAGGUUUUUUUUUCCCUAAGCAGAGAGAUUUUCAUUUCAGGGAAGGACAAAUCAGUAGUUUUGUGGAGUAUCCAGGACCAUAUAACAGCAUCUGCUACUGACCCAGCAACAGCGAAGUCUCCUGGAUCUGGAGGAUCAAUCAUUAAAAAGGCUGGGGAUGGCAAUGAUAAAGCUGCUGACAGUCCUGUGGGACCAAGAGGUAUCUACCGGGGGCAUGAGGAUACAGUAGAAGAUGUGACAUUCUGCCCAUCCAGGUAUCUUGCAUGAUCUUGUUGGUUCCCUUUGCAGUGGUUUCACCCACUUCUGGAAGCAAACUGCAUUUCACCUGCCACUUGAAAGAGCAUUGAAGUGAUGCUAUUAUAAAUUGACAAACACACUCAUAAUCAUUUGCUGUUUAUUGUCUUUUGUGGAUCAAGUAAUAGUUUGACUUUUCAUGUAAUUUUGAAUCAUGGAUGCUAGCCAUUCUUUCUGAUUAUAUGGCCUUGCGAAUACAUGGAGUCAUCAUAAGUCAUAACAUAUGGCAAUAGCUAUCAUUGUUGCUGAAAUAUCUGAGCAGACAAAAAAAAUCAUAUAUCUUACCCUUUUGCCAUUAUGGUUAUCUAUAGCUAUACUGUUAGAGAAUAAAUAAUUUAUUUGCAAUGUGCUCUGUUGUCCCUGACAAUUUUUAUUGCUGCUGAAGUGCACAGGAGUUCUGUAGUGUAGGAGAUGAUUCUUGCCUUAUAUUAUGGGAUGCUCGAGUUGGCUCUAGUCCAGCUGUCAAGGUUACAUGUCUCAUAUUUAUUUUCAUAGUAUCCUUAUUAAUGCUUGAAAUCACUUGUAAAAUUUCUCUUUGCUUGUGGGUGAAAAACCCUUUUUAUCUUAUCAUCUUGUUAAACCUUCAGUAAUACUCUAGUUGUGAAUUGUGUGUUUAUUUUUUAAGAUAGAACUCAGCUGAUGGUGAUAUAUGAUGGUUUUUGCCCCUUUUUCUGGUCAACAGGUUGAAAAGGCACACAAUGCUGAUCUUCACUGUGUUGAUUGGAAUCCUCAUGAUGAUAACCUUAUUUUAACUGGGUACGGUCCUAAUUUAUGUUUAUUCCAGUUGUCAUGUCUCUUUAAGCAGUGGGUGUGUGAUAGACUUUUAGGUUUGGUUAUACUCCUACUUAUUUUGUGGUUAUGUGGAGAUGAUGAAAAGUUUUAGAUGCUUUUACAUUUCUGUAAUUUCUCUCCAGGUCAGCAGAUAAUUCUGUUCGCAUGUUUGAUCGGCGGAAUCUCACUUCUAAUGGAGUUGGGAUACCUGUCUAUAAGUUUGAGGGUCACAAAGCUGCUGUUCUUUGUGUACAGUGGUCUCCAGACAAGUCAUCUGUGUUUGGAAGUUCGGCAGAAGAUGGUCUCCUAAAUAUUUGGGAUUAUGAGAAGGUGUGGAGCUUCAUCUGUGCAUCUAAAUUUAACACGUAGAUAUCUCCUAGACAUUGCAGACCUUUGAGACAUACCAAAAACUGAAAAAUCAUUAAUAAAAGCAAAAGCAGAAAAGACUGCAUAUACGUGUUCUCCCCAUACUUGGAAACACUUGCACGAAAUUAUCCAUCUCGAUCUUUAUCUAUCAACCUACCUGUGUUGUCAGUCUACAUCAGUGUAUGUUAGUAUGGGUGUGAAUUAUUAUUAUUAUUUUUUCCUUCUAAGAAGCUGGUGAAAGCCUUCGAACUGUGCUUAUACAUUACUUGUUGCAUGUUAUCAUACUGGAGCUAAAUGAUAAUGACACAAUGCACAUGGCUCUUUUUAUAUGUUAUGUGGUAGGUAGUUUUCAGUCUCUAAAUGUAUUGGGUUUGUGUAUUAGAAAAUUAUUUGGAUUCCUAGACCUUCACAUUGAUUGAAAGAAAGAACACGUAAGUGAUGAGGGGGUGUUCCUGGCAACAUUUACAUAAUUGGUUCAUUUUCUUUCCCUCUGUAUUUCGUAUCAACAGUUUUUCCCCUUUCCAUAAACACUGGAAGUAUAGAACAUUGUGGCCUUGUUGAUUUACUGUUCAGCUACCGAUAUAUACUUGUCUUUCCAUUUGUUCAUUUGGUGGCUUUCCAAAACUUACUUCAGAUCUCUUUAGGGUGCUUUCAGCCCUGCAAAUCUAUCUUAUAGCAAAAACUUUUCCUCCUAUUCUGCCUCUUAAAUUUUCAGGUCUGAUACAGCUGCUUUACUUGUUUGGCUUAGAUAUCUGAUUGCUUUGCUCUUUCCUGUUAAGUAUAGAUGGUGUUGGAUAGUUGGAAUGCAUCACAUAACUUUUUCUAAACUUGCAGGUUGGUAAGAAGGUAGAGCGCCCGACUAGAGCCACAACUUCUCCUGCAGGAUUGUUUUUCCAGCAUGCUGGGCACAGGGAUAAAGUUGUUGACUUCCAUUGGAAUGCAUUUGAUCCUUGGACGAUCGUUAGCGUGUCAGAUGACUGUGAUACCACUGGAGGAGGGGGAACAUUACAGAUAUGGCGUAUGAGUGAUUUGAUCUAUAGGCCGGAAGAUGAGGUUUUGGCAGAGCUUGAGAAGUUCAAGUCGCAUGUGAUUGCAUGUGCUUCUAAGCCUUGAGUGAGAGGGAGACAGAACUAGAGAACUUGCUGGAUAAACUAGUUGAUGCAUGGAUUUAAUGUGUUUUGUUUUGUCUUGAGGUUCGUAGGAAUUAGUGGUUGUCAAAUGUAGGCAUAUUACUAGAUUUAUAUAUAUCUUUUCAGAGAUUAGGCCGUAGUCAAAGAUUUACAUGCCUUUCUGCCUUUGCUGGAUGAAUUACAUGCAAAUUAGAAGAUUUCAACUCGUAGAACCCCUUGGCAUUAUUGUGACAAAUCAUCUGCGGAUUUAGAAAAUUUUUGGUUUUUGAGAAUUUAAUUUAAUUUAUACGCAACAGGAAAAUAUGAAGGGCCCGUGCUUGAUGCUGUUUGUUGAGGGAUACUCGGUUUAACUCCAUUUGGUUUUGCCACCUUUGAAAUGAUCGAAUCUAGAGAAUAAGUUCCUUUCAAAAAACCAAAAAAAAAAAUCGACAGAGUGAGCAGCACUCGUAUUCGUAGCCGGCAGUCUGGUACUGGCCGGUUUUGGUUUGGGUAGAAGGGGAAUUUGCACCGGAUUAAGUAUGCUUGCUUUCUC
This 4720-nucleotide unclassified non-coding RNA is filed under the name Hevea brasiliensis (rubber tree). The record is from RNAcentral. Lineage: Eukaryota; Viridiplantae; Streptophyta; Magnoliopsida; Malpighiales; Euphorbiaceae.